CUCUGAAGAGACUGCCGGUGUUAAACCGGAGGAAGGUGGGGAUGACGUCAAGUCCUCAUGGCCUUUAUGCCUAGGGCUGCACACGUCCUACAAUGCAACGUACAAAGCGACGCGAAAUCGCGAGAUCAAGCAAACCGCAUAAAACGUUGCCCAGUUCGGAUUGCAGGCUGAAAUUCGCCUGCAUGAAGCCGGAAUCGCUAGUAAUCGUAGGUCAGCAUACUACGGUGAAUGUGUUCCUGAGCCUU
This 245-nucleotide ribosomal RNA is filed under the name uncultured Planctomycetales bacterium. RNAcentral's name for it is "partial 16S ribosomal RNA". It matches the Rfam family "Bacterial small subunit ribosomal RNA", at positions 1138 to 1382 of the family's 1533-position model. Lineage: Bacteria; Pseudomonadati; Planctomycetota; Planctomycetia; Planctomycetales. The record is from RNAcentral.